Molecule: ribosomal RNA, 668 nt
Filed under: uncultured ciliate
Lineage: Eukaryota; Ciliophora
Description: SSU rRNA
Rfam family: Eukaryotic small subunit ribosomal RNA
Source: RNAcentral
UUGUAGUGUAUUGGACAACCAUGGCAGUCACGGGUAACGGAGAAUUAGGGUUCGAUUCCGGAGAGGGAGCCUGAGAAACGGCUACCACAUCUAAGGAAGGCAGCAGGCGCGUAAAUUACCCAAUCCCAAUUCGGGGAGGUAGUGACAAGAAAUAACAACCUGAGUGGUUCGCCACUUCGGGAUUGCAAUGAGAUAAGUCUAAAUCCGUAAGCGAUUACCAAUUGGAGGGCAAGUCUGGUGCCAGCAGCCGCGGUAAUUCCAGCUCCAAUAGCGUAUACUUAAGUUGUUGCAGUUAAAAAGCUCGUAGUUGAAAAUCGAAUCAGCUUCAUUAUGGCUUCGGUCAUACUUGUUAGCUGGUUCUCCGUCUACAAACCUUUUUGCUCUUUCACGAGUGCAGCUUGGAGAGUAGACAAUUUACCUUGAAAAAAUUAGAGUGUUCCAGGCAGGUCUUCGCCGGAAUACAUUAGCAUGGAAUAAUGGAAUAGGACUAUGGUCUUUUGUUGGUUUUAGGGCCGGUGUAAUGAUUAAUAGGGACAGAUGGGGGCAUUAGUAUUUAAUUGUCAGAGGUGAAAUUCUUGGAUUUAUUAAAGACUAACUUAUGCGAAAGCAUUUGCCAAGGAUGUUUUCAUUAAUCAAGAACGAAAGUUAGGGGAUCAAAGACGAUCAGA